This 899-nucleotide ribosomal RNA is filed under the name Bacillus cereus. RNAcentral describes it as "bacterial SSU rRNA". It matches the Rfam family "Bacterial small subunit ribosomal RNA", at positions 54 to 930 of the family's 1533-position model. The record is from RNAcentral. Lineage: Bacteria; Bacillati; Bacillota; Bacilli; Caryophanales; Bacillaceae.
CAUGCAGUCGAGCGAAUGGAUUAAGAGCUUGCUCUUAUGAAGUUAGCGGCGGACGGGUGAGUAACACGUGGGUAACCUGCCCAUAAGACUGGGAUAACUCCGGGAAACCGGGGCUAAUACCGGAUAACAUUUUGAACCGCAUGGUUCGAAAUUGAAAGGCGGCUUCGGCUGUCACUUAUGGAUGGACCCGCGUCGCAUUAGCUAGUUGGUGAGGUAACGGCUCACCAAGGCAACGAUGCGUAGCCGACCUGAGAGGGUGAUCGGCCACACUGGGACUGAGACACGGCCCAGACUCCUACGGGAGGCAGCAGUAGGGAAUCUUCCGCAAUGGACGAAAGUCUGACGGAGCAACGCCGCGUGAGUGAUGAAGGCUUUCGGGUCGUAAAACUCUGUUGUUAGGGAAGAACAAGUGCUAGUUGAAUAAGCUGGCACCUUGACGGUACCUAACCAGAAAGCCACGGCUAACUACGUGCCAGCAGCCGCGGUAAUACGUAGGUGGCAAGCGUUAUCCGGAAUUAUUGGGCGUAAAGCGCGCGCAGGUGGUUUCUUAAGUCUGAUGUGAAAGCCCACGGCUCAACCGUGGAGGGUCAUUGGAAACUGGGAGACUUGAGUGCAGAAGAGGAAAGUGGAAUUCCAUGUGUAGCGGUGAAAUGCGUAGAGAUAUGGAGGAACACCAGUGGCGAAGGCGACUUUCUGGUCUGUAACUGACACUGAGGCGCGAAAGCGUGGGGGAGCAAACAGGAUUAGAUACCCUGGUAGUCCACGCCGUAAACGAUGAGUGCUAAGUGUUAGAGGGUUUCCGCCCUUUAGUGCUGAAGUUAACGCAUUAAGCACUCCGCCUGGGGAGUACGGCCGCAAGGCUGAAACUCAAAGGAAUUUGACGGGGGGCCCGCACAAGC